UGCGUAGGCGGAAAAAUAAGUCAGUGGUGAAAUCUUGCAGCUUAACUGUAAAACUGCCAUUGAUACUGUUUUUCUUGAAUAUAGUUGAGGUAGGCGGAAUGUGUAAUGUAGCGGUGAAAUGCUUAGAUAUUACACAGAACACCGAUUGCGUAGGCAGCUUACUAAACUAUUAUUGACGCUGAGGCACGAAAGCGUGGGGAGCGAACAGGAUUAGAUACCCUGGUAGUCC
RNAcentral lists this ribosomal RNA (229 nucleotides) under uncultured bacterium. Its description in RNAcentral is "partial 16S ribosomal RNA". It matches the Rfam family "Bacterial small subunit ribosomal RNA", at positions 568 to 796 of the family's 1533-position model. The record is from RNAcentral.